CUCAUUGGUCUAGUUUUUUUGCGCCUAAAAUGUAUCGAGACUUAAGAAAUUUACCGAAGCGGCAAGUUUUAUUUUUAAUAAAACGGUAGCGGAACAUUCUGUACGUUAAUAAAGAUAUAUUGUAAAAUAUAUUGAAGAUAUCAGAAAAGAAAAUGCUGGCAUUAGUAACAAAAAAUAAUGAUAAUAAAUCAUUAUCACCGUAAAUCCAAGGGUUUCUAUGUUCAAAUGUAUUACAUAGAGUGAAACGGCCCCUAAGAAAGAUUUGACGAAAGCAAAUUUUGAUGGGAUAAUUUUUAAAUUAAAUUUUUUUAAAAAGUGACAAAAAUUUUAAAUUUUUCAGGAAAUAACUUUUUAAUUAAAAACCGUACCCUAAACCGACACAGGUAGAUAGGUCGAGUAGACUAAGGUGAAUGGGAGAACUAUAUUGAAGGAACUCGGCAAAAUGACUUUGUAACUUCGGGAUAAAAAGUACCUAUAAUUUAAAAAUUAGGUGUCACAAAAUAGGGGGUUGCGACUGUUUAAUAAAAACUUAGGACUCUGCUAAAUGGUAACAUGAUGUAUAGGGUCUGACACCUGCCCGGUGCUGGAAGAUUAAAAAGAGAUGUUUACGCAUUAAAUGGAAGUCCCAGUAAACGGCGGCCGUAACUCUGACGGUCCUAAGGUAGCGAAAUUCCUUGUCGGGUAAGUUCCGACCUGCAUGAAUGGUGUAACGACAUCCCCGCUGUCUCCAAUAUAGACUCAGUGAAUUUGAAUUAUCCGUGAAGAUGCGGAUUUUCUAUAGUUAGACGGAAAGACCCCGUGAACCUUUACUACAUUUUUAUAUUGUUAUUUUAUUUAAUACGUGUAGUAUAAGUGGUAAUUGUAGAAACCUUUACGCUAGUAAAUUGUUUAGAUGUCUUUGAAAUACCACUCUUAUUAAAAUAAAUAACUAAUAUUUGUUAAAUAAACAGUGUAUGAUUGGUAGUUUGACUGGGGCGGUCACCUCCUAAAGAGUAACGGAGGUGUACAAAGGUAAGCUCAAAUUGGAUAAUAAUAUCAAUUGUAGAAUGGAAUGGUAAAAGCUUGCUUGACUGUAAGAUAGACAUAUCAAACAGGGACGAAAGUCGGUCAUAGUGAUCCGAUAAUUCUUUGUGGAAAGAUUAUCGCUCAACGGAUAAAAGGUACUCCGGGGAUAACAGGCUAAUGACUCCUAAGAGCUCCUAUCGACGGAGUCGUUUGGCACCUCGAUGUCGACUCAUCACAUCCUGGAGCUGAAGAAGGUUCCAAGGGUUCGGCUGUUCGCCGAUUAAAGUGGUACGUGAGUUGGGUUUAGAACGUCGUGAGACAGUUUGGUUCCUAUCUUCUAUAGAUAUUUUGAAAAAUGAAAGAAUCUAACUCUAGUACGAGAGGACCGAGAAAGGUAAAUCUCUGGUGUAUCGGUUGUUGAAAAGCAUCGCCGAGUAGCUAAAUUUAUUUUGGAUAAUUACUGAAAGCAUCUAAGUAAGAAACCAUUCUUAAAAUUUUUUCAUAAAAAAACUGUAAAAGAUUAUUA
Molecule: ribosomal RNA, 1531 nt
Filed under: Peronospora belbahrii
Lineage: Eukaryota; Oomycota; Peronosporomycetes; Peronosporales; Peronosporaceae
Description: bacterial LSU rRNA
Rfam family: Bacterial large subunit ribosomal RNA
Source: RNAcentral